CCUACGGGAGGCAGCAGUGGGGAAUUUUGGACAAUGGACGCAAGUCUGAUCCAGCCAUUCCGCGUGCAGGAUGAAGGCCCUCGGGUUGUAAACUGCUUUUGUACAGAACGAAAAGGUUUCUCUUAAUACGAGGGGCUCAUGACGGUACUGUAAGAAUAAGCACCGGCUAACUACGUGCCAGCAGCCGCGGUAAUACGUAGGGUGCAAGCGUUAAUCGGAAUUACUGGGCGUAAAGCGUGCGCAGGCGGUUAUAUAAGACAGAUGUGAAAUCCCCGGGCUCAACCUGGGAACUGCAUUUGUGACUGUAUAGCUAGAGUACGGUAGAGGGGGAUGGAAUUCCGCGUGUAGCAGUGAAAUGCGUAGAUAUGCGGAGGAACACCGAUGGCGAAGGCAAUCCCCUGGACCUGUACUGACGCUCAUGCACGAAAGCGUGGGGAGCAAACAGGAUUAGAUACCCUGGUAGUCCACGCCCUAAACGAUGUCAACUGGUUGUUGGGUCUUCACUGACUCAGUAACGAAGCUAACGCGNGAGUAGACGCGNGGUAAGGUACGCGCGAGUAGUUAACGUUACGAAGAAGUUAGACGGCGNGAGACGNGCGACGGACGACGACGAGGGAGGAGG
RNAcentral lists this ribosomal RNA (622 nucleotides) under uncultured bacterium. Its description in RNAcentral is "bacterial SSU rRNA". The stretch from base 1 to 540 matches the Rfam family "Bacterial small subunit ribosomal RNA", at positions 338 to 873 of the family's 1533-position model. The record is from RNAcentral.